Molecule: ribosomal RNA, 497 nt
Filed under: uncultured bacterium
Lineage: Bacteria
Description: partial 16S ribosomal RNA
Rfam family: Bacterial small subunit ribosomal RNA
Source: RNAcentral
GAUGAACGCUGGCGGCGUGCCUAAUACAUGCAAGUCGAGCGAACGGACGAGAAGCUUGCUUCUCUGAUGUUAGCGGCGGACGGGUGAGUAACACGUGGAUAACCUACCUAUAAGACUGGGAUAACUUCGGGAAACCGGAGCUAAUACCGGAUGAUAUUUUGAACCGCAUGGUUCAAAAGUGAAAGACGGUCUUGCUGUCACUUAUAGAUGGAUCCGCGCUGCAUUAGCUAGUUGGUAAGGUAACGGCUUACCAAGGCAACGAUGCAUAGCCGACCUGAGGGGCUGAUCGGCCACACUGGAACUUAGACACGGUCCAGACUCCUACGGGAGGCAGCAGUAGGCAAUCUUCCGCAAUGGGCGAAAGCCUGACGGAGCAACGCCGCGUGAGUGAUGAAGGUCUUCGGAUCGUAAAACUCUGUUAUUAGGGAAGAACAUAUGUGUAAGUAACUGUGCACAUCUUGACGGUACCUAAUCAGAAAGCCCCGGCUAACUACGUG